GUCCUUUAACCUUUACACUGGAGUUAAGUGAUUAACACACCACUAUAUUACAGUCUUAGAAUAUUCUGAAUUUGACUAUAUAUAUAUUUACCUUUACCAGUGAGUUUUCUAUUUUCAGAUGCCUUCAUGUUACUAAUUCGUGUCUUUUCAUUUCAGCUUGCUGAGCUCCCUUUAACGUUUCAUGUAAGGCAGGUCUAGCAGUAAUGAACUCCCUCAGUUUUGGCUCAUAUGGGAAAGUCUUUACCUCUCCUUCAUUUCUAAAGGAAAUCUUUGCCAGUUCCAGCCUACAGUUCUGAAAACCAGAAGUCCAAGAUCAGGCUGCCAGCAUGGAGGGGUUCUGUGUUCCCUGUAUCUCCGGGAAUGGCCUCAGCAACCUCCCAGAACUUCUCCUCGACGCCUGUCUCUUCCGCAGCAUCCGUCCAAUGCGGUACCAAGUUCCGUCUAUCCUAUUACCUCAGGACAGACACAUUUGUCAACCGCAAUCAUUUAUUA
This 492-nucleotide long non-coding RNA is filed under the name Equus caballus (horse). RNAcentral describes it as "lncRNA (ENSECAG00000052917.1)". Lineage: Eukaryota; Metazoa; Chordata; Mammalia; Perissodactyla; Equidae. The record is from RNAcentral.